RNAcentral lists this ribosomal RNA (590 nucleotides) under uncultured Chloroflexota bacterium. RNAcentral describes it as "bacterial SSU rRNA". It matches the Rfam family "Bacterial small subunit ribosomal RNA", at positions 908 to 1501 of the family's 1533-position model. The record is from RNAcentral. Lineage: Bacteria; Bacillati; Chloroflexota.
AAUUGACGGGGGCCCGCACAAGCAGCGGAGCGUGUGGUUUAAUUCGAUGCAACACGAAGAACCUUACCAGGGCUUGACAUGCCGGAAGUAGGAACCUGAAAGGGGGACGACCUGUAAAGUCAGGAGCCAGCACAGGUGCUGCAUGGCUGUCGUCAGCUCGUGCCGUGAGGUGUUGGGUUAAGUCCCGCAACGAGCGCAACCCUCGUUGCCAGUUAACUUCUCUGGCGAGACUGCCCCGCAAAACGGGGAGGAAGGUGGGGAUGACGUCAAGUCAGCAUGGCCUUUAUGCCCUGGGCUACACACACGCUACAAUGGGUAGUACAAUGGGCAGCAAUGGAGCAAUCCGGAGCUAAUCCAAAAAGCUAUCCUCAGUUCGGAUUGCAGGCUGAAACCCGCCUGCAUGAAGUUGGAGUUGCUAGUAACUGCAGGUCAGCAUACUGCGGUGAAUACGUUCUCGGGCCUUGUACACACCGCCCGUCACGUCAUGAAAGUCGGCAACACCUGAAGUCGAUGGGCUGACCCCGGUUCUCCGGGGGGGCAGUCGCCGAGGGUGGGGUCGGUGAUUGGGACGAAGUCGUAACAAGGUAACC